RNAcentral lists this ribosomal RNA (108 nucleotides) under Peromyscus maniculatus bairdii (prairie deer mouse). Lineage: Eukaryota; Metazoa; Chordata; Mammalia; Rodentia; Cricetidae. The record is from RNAcentral.
UAUCACACAGAAUGCACUGGGUUCAUCUGAUCUCAGAAGCUAAGUAGUGGUCAAGCCUGGUUAGUAUUUGGAUAUGAGAGACACAUUGAAUACAGAAUGAAGUGAUGA